This 712-nucleotide long non-coding RNA is filed under the name Rhinopithecus roxellana (golden snub-nosed monkey). RNAcentral describes it as "lncRNA (ENSRROG00000046049.1)". Lineage: Eukaryota; Metazoa; Chordata; Mammalia; Primates; Cercopithecidae. The record is from RNAcentral.
UAAGCACCUAGUCCAUACCAUGAAGUGUGCUAGGCACUGGGAGGACUUGAGGUGCCAAGGAAAGGGGAAAUCGGAGGCUUGAAUUGGCAGUCAUAGUUAAGGCUCCAGGGGCGGAGACCUAACUGCGCCUUGUGUGUAGUGCUAAGGGGGCUCCCUGAGGAUGCCAUCAACCUUAAAGGUGGAUGGCACGAGCUGGCUGGCUGAAAUACAGUUUGUGUACCAGGAGUUGGGAGGCAAGGGUGGGAGGCGUGUGUCUUCAGACAGGGAACAACAUGUGCAGAGACUUCAGGUGAGAGAGAGCAUGGCUCCCCAGGAAUGAAUGCAUUUGCCAUAGCUGGGAGAGUAUCAUCUGGAGGUUAGGGAAAGAUGAGGCUGCAUAAGUAAAGACCAAAUCUUCCUGGCUCUUGGAUCACCACAAUCAAGUCCUCUGUGAAGUUGCAGCUGCUCUGCAGCCAGGUACUAAAGAGCUGCUGGGACAGGGGAAUGAUUAUGAGAAGAUCCUGAAGCUCACGGCUGACACCAAGUUUGGUCCAUCAGAUUCAGGCGAUGUGAAGGCCACAGUGGCAGUGCUGAGUUUCAUCCUCUCCAGUGCAGCCAAGCACAGUGUCGAUGGCGGAUCCUUGUCCAGUGAACUGCAGCAGCUGGGGCUGUCCCAAGGAAACAAAGUGCACCAGUGUGUGGAUACCAGCUUCUCCUGGUGUGUGGACCUGAC